This 1145-nucleotide long non-coding RNA is filed under the name Manacus vitellinus (golden-collared manakin). RNAcentral's name for it is "lncRNA (ENSMVIG00005008944.1)". The record is from RNAcentral. Lineage: Eukaryota; Metazoa; Chordata; Aves; Passeriformes; Pipridae.
AAAACUGCUUCUGAAGUUACUUUAUGUUUUGAAAUGCUUAUGCUGGGGGAGCAUCCUCUUUGUUGUUAUUUAGGCCACAUCACUGUCUUUAUUACUGGUGUCUGGAAUUAUACAAAACUAAGAAAUCUUAUAAAGGGCUACAUUUAUUUUUAAUUAAACUUUAACAUUCUAGAUUCAAUGUUUUUCUAGACACCUAACUCUAUGUCUGACAAUCCUUGAAAAUGUGUUGCUCAUACAAGAAAAUCAACAAUAGAGAAUGUGAGAUUGUCCACAUGAGAGAAAUUCUGAGGUUUGGCCAGUUCUGUGACUGGUCAAAAGGUCCAGUACUCUAAACACGUCUGUUCCUCUUGCUUUUGCACUUCCUCUUCCUCCUGAUAUCAGCAGCUGGGGGGAUGCCGAGGGGGAACCAGCAGAUAAUCCCCUGCCCAACCACUUACAUGAGGGUAUAUGGGGAGGAAACUGAAGCAACUUCCUUGAGAAAGUUUCCUUCCACUCUUACUGCCUAAUAUCUCCUUCCCACAGUUUAGACUCUCUCUUCUCCUCUCCCUGGUGCCAGGGCGCUGCUGAGCCCCGCCCAUGCUCUCAGGCUUGCACUGGCUCCAGCCAGCCCUGGGUCCCUCCACGACAGGGUUCUAGCAACUUCCCAGCCAGAAACUUCCCUGCUUGUUUGCCAGUCUCCCGACUGGCUGGUUUGCCUUACAGAGAUGGCCACCAGGUCCUCUCCACACCUCGCUUGCCUCAGACCAGAAGUUGGUUGCUGUAAACUCAGCCAUCACACCUACAUGCACAUCACCUACAAUUUAGCUCAUUAAAUUGUCUCACCAAGCCACCCGUGGUGAUCAGUCGUGGUCCUCAGUGAGGCAAAGCUGUGGGAUGUGAGAAGCAGUGGUGCUGUGGCCUACUCUGCAAGCCCCCUUAGCCCCUGCUUCGUGGGGCUGUGUCUGUCUGCAUCAGGACUCUUCACCACCAUGGUGAACGCUAUACCUUCCUGAGUCUACCCUGGUGCCUGUGGAGGGUUUAGUGAAAGCUCAGUGUUCCUGUUUAUUUUGUCUGGAGCAUUUUCUGCUGCUGCACAGCAUUCAAUUCCCCCUGAACUGCUACUACUGAACUCAGGCAGGCAGAACACAGGAGCGCUGACAUGAGCA